CGGGCGCUUAGCUCAGCCUGGACAGAGCACUUGGCUUCGGACCAAGAUGCCGCGGGUUCAAAUCCUGCAGCGCCCGU
This 77-nucleotide transfer RNA is filed under the name Halocalculus aciditolerans. Its description in RNAcentral is "tRNA-Arg". It matches the Rfam family "tRNA". Rfam says of the family: Transfer RNA (tRNA) molecules are approximately 80 nucleotides in length. Their secondary structure includes four short double-helical elements and three loops (D, anti-codon, and T loops). Lineage: Archaea; Methanobacteriati; Methanobacteriota; Halobacteria; Halobacteriales; Halobacteriaceae. The record is from RNAcentral.